This 150-nucleotide unclassified non-coding RNA is filed under the name Penicillium georgiense. RNAcentral's name for it is "sequence contains ITS1". Lineage: Eukaryota; Fungi; Ascomycota; Eurotiomycetes; Eurotiales; Aspergillaceae. The record is from RNAcentral.
GGCCCGCCUGACCCCAGGUCGCCAGGGGGCACUCCCCGGGCGCGCGCCCGCCGAAGACACCCUGGAACUCUGUCUGUGAGUGUUGUCUGAGUAGGAUUUGAAUCAGUUAAAACUUUCAACAACGGAUCUCUUGGUUCCGGCAUCGAUGAA